Molecule: long non-coding RNA, 1676 nt
Organism: Musa acuminata AAA Group (dessert banana)
Lineage: Eukaryota; Viridiplantae; Streptophyta; Magnoliopsida; Zingiberales; Musaceae
Exons: 3
Source: RefSeq, a predicted model, not a curated record
CGGGACCAGUUCUGUCGAGUGUCUCUCAAUGAGAGGAACCCAGAAGAAUAAGAAUAUUUGGCUAACCGUGGUUCGAGGAUUCGCCUUCGUCGUCGGGGUAAUCGGCGGAAAGCAAAGCGGGCGAGGAAGGCGAUCCCAAGAGAGAAAAGAAGGCGUGACGAGAGACAUGGGAUUCCUCUUCCGGGUGAGGUUGGCGUCCUUCUUUGUGGGCGGCGCCUCGGCGUCCGUUGCUGGUUAGUGUCUCGUUGACAAAGAUUAUAUGCUCGCCCACGACGCCAUCGCCCACCAGAAUCUGAAGCAAAGGAAGUGAACAAGAGAAGAGGAGAGAUCAUAUGCUUGCUCCUUAUAUUCUCCCUAUGCUUUAGCUUCACAUUCUCCGAUUCCCUGACAAAAUAUAAGAGAAAAAAAAACAAAUACCAAACUUGGAGUACUGAGCAGUGGAAGUGCAUGCCUCUAGGAAUGGGAAAUUCAUGACAUCAAGUGAAAGGCAUCUAUGAAAAUUUUGAUGAAUGCUAUGAAGGCCCUUCACAGGCAUGUCAUAGCUUUGGAAAAUCAGAAGAAAAUGGAAACCUCAAAACCUGCAGAGGCAUCCGAUUAGAUAGAGAUGUUUGUUGCUUCUAAGCAGCCACUUUGCUUCCUCCCUGAUGUUUGUUCUGAUCACUGCACGAGGUUUGUUCUAAUCACUUCACUGCUAGUUAAGGAUGCUUGCAACAUUUUAUUUGAGUUGGAUUCAGAAAAAAAGGGUAAGAAACUUCAUCAUGCACUUUGCAAUGUUUUUUCCGGUGUUUGUUGACUCUGCCAUCAUGGCUCUCUUGUGUAUAAGCUGUGGCCAAAUUGAGUGAUCGUUCAAGGUUGCUCACCAUAGUUGCACAAGAACCCAAAAAAUGAAUCUAUUCAACAGGUGAAUACUUGUGCCUAAUAACUUAUUACUAUCCAAUCAGAUACAGUGUUAAAUCCGAUGUAGUUUUUCUAGGUGUAUCUACUUACACCAUUCAUUGUCUUCAUCGGAUGAACAUCUGUAACAUGUUUAAACAGUCCAUUGCUUUUCAUUGUAGUAUUCCAUCAUUUUGCAUAUAACUUUCCACUGAUUGGGCUUCUAUUUCCAGUUUUUUUUUUUCUGCAGAGAGCCCCUCAAUUUGCAGAAAGUAAAUCUUAUCUAUCGCGAAAUGCACUGGACCGGUCUGGCUGCUGAAGCGGUCCAGCGUUAUUCGGGUUGAGCAAACGAAGCAACGGGUUCAAUCCCCUUCCUACGCCAUAAAAUGCUGCACUGCUUCUGCUUUGGAUGCUUUAAUUCCCUUUUCAGUUUUCUUUCUCCAGGAACUGUUUCUCCGCAAUAAUCUCUUUGAAGGCUGAUGCAGCAUAUAUACCCUUCCUUUUUCCCUGUUGAAGACGGUGGAUCCUGUUUCGUCCCCUAUUGCAUUUCGACGCUUUGGAGAUUUCCUCUCUUUCAAGCUGGUCGGUUCCACCACCACAAUCUUUGUAAGAGUCAUCGAAGCCACGAAGCCUUACAGACCUCACCUCUCUCGGUAAAGGCUUUCCCCCGCAAACAUUGUAUAACUGGAUUAGUCACUCCAAUUCUUUUUUUUUCUUUUUUUUUUAUUUCAUCUUUGGCUAAUUAUCAUUAUUUUGCUCCCAUUUUCUGAAUAAAAUAAUCCACGCCUAUUUGGGUUAUUAAA